CCUACGGGGGGCAGCAGUGGGGAAUAUUGCACGAUGGGGGAAACCCUGAUGCAGCGACGCCGCGUGAAGGAAGAAGGUUUUCGGAUCGUAAACUUCUAUCAGCAGGGUAGAAGAAAGUGACAGUACCUGACGAAGAAGCCCCGGCUAACUACGUGCCAGCAGCCGCGGUAAUACGUAGGGGGCAAGCGUUAUCCGGCAUCACUGGGUGUAAAGGGUGCGUAGGCGGUAGGGCGAGUCAGAUGUGAAAGCCCGGGGCUCAACCCCGGGACUGCAUUUGAAACUGUCUUACUAGAGUGCAGGAGAGGAAUGCUGAAUUCCUAGAGCUGCGGCGUAAUGCGUUGAUAUUAGGAAGAACACCAGUGGCGAAGGCGGCUUUCUGGACUGUAACUGACGCUGAGGUACGAAAGCGUGGGGGGCGAACAGGAUUAGAUCCCCGAGUAGUC
This 443-nucleotide ribosomal RNA is filed under the name uncultured bacterium. Its description in RNAcentral is "bacterial SSU rRNA". It matches the Rfam family "Bacterial small subunit ribosomal RNA", at positions 338 to 795 of the family's 1533-position model. The record is from RNAcentral.